AUUAGAAAAACAGGACUUGAACCUGCACCAAAGAACUCAAAAUCCUCUGUACUUCCACUAUACUACUCUCU
RNAcentral lists this transfer RNA (71 nucleotides) under Flexiseps tanysoma. RNAcentral's name for it is "Amphiglossus tanysoma tRNA-Gln". The record is from RNAcentral. Lineage: Eukaryota; Metazoa; Chordata; Lepidosauria; Squamata; Scincidae.